CAGCCGCCGCGGUAAUACGGAGGGUGCAAGCGUUAUCCGGAUUUAUUGGGUUUAAAGGGUCCGUAGGCGGAUCUGUAAGUCAGUGGUGAAAUCUCACAGCUUAACUGUGAAACUGCCAUUGAUACUGCAGGUCUUGAGUAAAUUUGAAGUGGCUGGAAUAAGUAGUGUAGCGGUGAAAUGCAUAGAUAUUACUUAGAACACCAAUUGCGAAGGCAGGUCACUAAGAUUUAACUGACGCUGAUGGACGAAAGCGUGGGGAGCGAACAGGAUUAGAUACCCCCGUAGUCCCUGUCUCUUAUAC
This 301-nucleotide ribosomal RNA is filed under the name uncultured bacterium. RNAcentral's name for it is "partial 16S ribosomal RNA". It matches the Rfam family "Bacterial small subunit ribosomal RNA", at positions 509 to 807 of the family's 1533-position model. The record is from RNAcentral.